GAUGAACGCUGGCGGCGUGCCUAAUACAUGCAAGUCGAGCGAACAGACGAGGAGCUUGCUCCUCUGACGUUAGCGGCGGACGGGUGAGUAACACGUGGAUAACCUACCUAUAAGACUGGGAUAACUUCGGGAAACCGGAGCUAAUACCGGAUAAUAUAUUGAACCGCAUGGUUCAAUAGUGAAAGACGGUUUUGCUGUCACUUCCCGACGCAUCCGCGCCGCAUUAGCUAGUUGGUAAGGUAACGGCUUACCAAGGCAACGAUGCGUAGCCGACCUGAGAGGGUGAUCGGCCACACUGGAACUGAGACACGGUCCAGACUCCUACGGGAGGCAGCAGUAGGGAAUCUUCCGCAAUGGGCGAAAGCCUGACGGAGCAACGCCGCGUGAGUGAUGAAGGUCUUCGGAUCGUAAAACUCUGUUAUUAGGGAAGAACAAAUGUGUAAGUAACUAUGCACGUCUUGACGGUACCUAAUCAGAAAGCCACGGCUAACUACGUG
RNAcentral lists this ribosomal RNA (497 nucleotides) under uncultured bacterium. RNAcentral describes it as "partial 16S ribosomal RNA". It matches the Rfam family "Bacterial small subunit ribosomal RNA", at positions 28 to 507 of the family's 1533-position model. The record is from RNAcentral.